This 198-nucleotide ribosomal RNA is filed under the name uncultured bacterium. RNAcentral describes it as "partial 16S ribosomal RNA". It matches the Rfam family "Bacterial small subunit ribosomal RNA", at positions 335 to 526 of the family's 1533-position model. The record is from RNAcentral.
ACUCCUACGGGAGGCAGCAGUGGGGAAUUUUGGACAAUGGGGGAAACCCUGAUCCAGCAACGCCGCGUGAGUGAAGAAGGCCUUCGGGUUGUAAAGCUCUUUUGUCAGGGAAGAAACACCGGCUCUAACACAGUCCGGGAAUGACGGUACCUGAAGAAUAAGCACCGGCUAACUACGUGCCAGCAGCCGCGGUAAUAC